CAAUAGCGUAUAUUAAAGUUGUUGCAGUUAAAAAGCUCGUAGUUGGAUUUCUGGUUCGAAUGUCCGGUCCGCUUGUAACUUGUUUGCGAGUGCGUACUAUGGAUGUUUGGGCCAUUUUUUGUGAGGAAAUUUACCUGUCAUUAAGUUGAUGGGUUUAUAGACUUGCAUCGUUUACUGUGAAAAAAUUAGAGUGUUUAAAGCAGGCGUUCGCUUCUUGAAUACAUUAGCAUGGAAUAAUAAGAUACGACUUUGGUGGUCUAUUUUGUUGGUUUGCACGCCAGAGUAAUGAUUAAUAGGGACAGUUGGGGGUAUUCAUAUUUCAGCGUCAGAGGUGAAAUUCUUGGAUCGCUGAAAGAUGAGCUUAGGCGAAAGCAUUUACCAAGGAUGUUUUCAUUA
Molecule: ribosomal RNA, 396 nt
Filed under: uncultured eukaryote
Lineage: Eukaryota
Description: partial 18S ribosomal RNA
Rfam family: Eukaryotic small subunit ribosomal RNA
Source: RNAcentral